ACCCCAGUGGCGUAACUGGCAAACGCACCAGCCUAAGAAACUGUUUUUUCUGAGUUCGAAUCUCAGUUGGGGUA
RNAcentral lists this transfer RNA (74 nucleotides) under bacterium 336/3. It matches the Rfam family "tRNA". From Rfam's summary of the family: Transfer RNA (tRNA) molecules are approximately 80 nucleotides in length. Lineage: Bacteria; Pseudomonadati. The record is from Rfam by way of RNAcentral.